UAUACUUGUCUGCAGCAGGGAAAGAGGAUGAUGCUAAAUAUGUUCUUAGCGAACAUCUAAAGUCUCAGAUCUAAAUUUGGUGACUGGGAAUAGAUUACACAACAGCUAGUGACUCCACACAAAGAACACAACAUUGACUCCUUUAUUGAAAACUGUGUUCUGGGGAGGCCUCACAACUGGCUUGAGUAAUGGCGUGUCGCAGAAGGGACUCUGAGGCUGGUGAUUAAAGGAAUGCAAGGAUGAUUGAAUGAGCCCGCCAUCUUCCUUCUGAGCCCAGCAGAGGCUCCAGAGUGCUCUCCACACUGCAGGACCUCUGGAUCACCUCGGGAUCACAGCUACUCUCUGAUGAAGUUGGUGGCGCUGUGGAGGAGGACCGCCGCCUCCUGGACGAGGACCGGGAGCGCUCAGCAUUGUAGGAGACAUGCUUGUCGUAGUUCUCCAUCUGUGUCUCAAUGAAGUCCCUUUGCUGCUGUCUGAUGGUCUGGCUGAUUAGCCCAGGGAGGGCAUGAAUGCUACCAAUCAAAGUCUCUAGUUUUGUUUCCAGGGUGACGAUCCUUUUCUCAAAGUCUUCACUCCUUUCAUUCAAGUCGGAAAUCAUGUCAUACAUGAUAUUCUGGGUCUGGAAAACAAGAAUGAGAAGAUAGAAACAGAGAAGGAAGAGGCUUAGUGACUUUUGCCUCAGAAGCGAACUGUCAACUCUU
This 701-nucleotide long non-coding RNA is filed under the name Mus musculus (house mouse). Its description in RNAcentral is "RIKEN cDNA A330093E20 gene". The record is from RNAcentral. Lineage: Eukaryota; Metazoa; Chordata; Mammalia; Rodentia; Muridae.